This is a small nucleolar RNA of 250 nucleotides. It matches the Rfam family "Small nucleolar RNA U3". From Rfam's summary of the family: Small nucleolar RNAs (snoRNAs) are involved in the processing and modification of rRNA in the nucleolus. There are two main classes of snoRNAs: the box C/D class, and the box H/ACA class. The record is from Rfam.
CGGCUUGUACUUGGCGCCAAGGAUGUAGACGCGGAUCAUGCGUUGAAUCGUGGUGACUGCAGUACAGUUCUGUUCUACUUUGUUUUCAAAGUUGACAUCACAAAUGACUUUGAUGAUCGUAUGUGACCACGUCCGUUGACUCGGGAUGUCGGCCAGAAACUCGAAUUGAGUUUUGAGUUGCUGGCUCUUGAUGAACGUCCACCGUUGCUAUUCCAAGACGGUGUGAGCGGACGCUGGUGUUAUGAGAAGU